AUUGAACGCUGGCGGCAUGCUUUACACAUGCAAGUCGAACGGUAACAGGCCGCAAGGUGCUGACGAGUGGCGAACGGGUGAGUAAUGCAUCGGAACGUGCCCAGUCGUGGGGGAUAACGCAGCGAAAGAUGCGCUAAUACCGCAUACGAUCUACGGAUGAAAGCGGGGGACCGUAAGGCCUCGCGCGAUUGGAGCGGCCGAUGUCAGAUUAGAUAGUUGGUGGGGUAAAGGCUCACCAAGCCGACGAUCUGUAGCUGGUCUGAGAGGACGACCAGCCACACUGGGACUGAGACACGGCCCAGACUCCUACGGGAGGCAGCAGUGGGGAAUUUUGGACAAUGGGCGCAAGCCUGAUCCAGCAAUGCCGCGUGCAGGAAGAAGGCCUUCGGGUUGUAAACUGCUUUUGUACGGAACGAAAAGGCUCUGGUUAAUACCUGGGGCUCAUGACGGUACCGUAAGAAUAAGCACCGGCUAACUACGUGCCAGCCGCCGCCGUAA
Molecule: ribosomal RNA, 498 nt
Filed under: uncultured bacterium
Lineage: Bacteria
Description: partial 16S ribosomal RNA
Rfam family: Bacterial small subunit ribosomal RNA
Source: RNAcentral